This 254-nucleotide ribosomal RNA is filed under the name uncultured bacterium. RNAcentral describes it as "partial 16S ribosomal RNA". It matches the Rfam family "Bacterial small subunit ribosomal RNA", at positions 524 to 776 of the family's 1533-position model. The record is from RNAcentral.
UACGGGGGGAGCAAGCGUUGUUCGGAUUUACUGGGCGUAAAGGGCGCGUAGGCGGUCAGCACAAGUCAGUUGUGAAAUCUCCGGGCUUAACUCGGAAAGGUCAACUGAUACUGUGCGACUAGAGUGCGGAAGGGGCAACUGGAAUUCUCGGUGUAGCGGUGAAAUGCGUAGAUAUCGAGAGGAACACCUGCGGCGAAGGCGGGUCACUGGGCUGAUACUGACGCUGAAGUGCGAAAGCCAGGGGAGCGAACGGG